ACCUGCGGAGGAUCAUUAUUGAAUGAACUUGGCGUGGUUGUUGCUGGCCCUCUCGGGGGCAUGUGCACACCCGCCAUCUCCAUCUCUCCACCUGUGCACCUCUUGUAGACUGGAAUAGACUUUCCGAGGCAACUCGGUCGGGAGGAAUGCUGUCGCUUUGCGUCGGCUUUCUUUGCACUUCCAAGCCUAUGUUUUUCAUAUACCCGUAGUAUGUAACAGAAUGUAUCAUUUGGGCCUCRGUGCCUAUAAACCAUAUACAACUUUCAGCAACGGAUCUCUUGGCUCUCGCAUCGAUGAAGAACGCAGCGAAAUGCGAUAAGUAAUGUGAAUUGCAGAAUUCAGUGAAUCAUCGAAUCUUUGAACGCACCUUGCGCUCCUUGGUAUUCCGAGGAGCAUGCCUGUUUGAGUGUCAUUUAAUUCUCAACCUUAUUAGCUUUUGCUGAUAAUGGCUUGGAUGUGGGGGUUCUCUUUUGCUGGCUUCUUUUCACAGAGGUCAGCUCCCCUGAAAUGCAUUAGCUGGUGCCCCGCGUGGACUGUCUAUUUGGUGUGAUAAUUAUCAACGCCGUGGAUGUCUGCAAUUGGUUUUGGCACUGCUUCUAACUGUCUGUUCAUUUGGACAACACAUGACAAUUUGACCUCAAAUCAGGA
Molecule: ribosomal RNA, 648 nt
Filed under: Hymenogaster griseus
Lineage: Eukaryota; Fungi; Basidiomycota; Agaricomycetes; Agaricales; Hymenogastraceae
Description: eukaryotic LSU rRNA
Rfam family: 5.8S ribosomal RNA (bases 259-412)
Source: RNAcentral